Felis catus (domestic cat) is the source of this 85-nucleotide transfer RNA. It matches the Rfam family "tRNA". From Rfam's summary of the family: Transfer RNA (tRNA) molecules are approximately 80 nucleotides in length. The record is from Rfam. NCBI's taxonomy places the organism in Eukaryota, Metazoa, Chordata, Mammalia, Carnivora, Felidae.
GCCUGGGUGGCUCAGUCGGUUAAGCGUCCGACCUCAGCUCAGGUCAUGAUCUCGCGGUUCGUGGGUUCGAGCCCCACAUCAGGCU